This 1148-nucleotide ribosomal RNA is filed under the name Lactiplantibacillus plantarum. Its description in RNAcentral is "bacterial SSU rRNA". It matches the Rfam family "Bacterial small subunit ribosomal RNA", at positions 33 to 1150 of the family's 1533-position model. The record is from RNAcentral. Lineage: Bacteria; Bacillati; Bacillota; Bacilli; Lactobacillales; Lactobacillaceae.
CCGCAAUUUGGGGCGUGCCUAUACAUGCAGUCGAACGAACUCUGGUAUUGAUUGGUGCUUGCAUCAUGAUUUACAUUUGAGUGAGUGGCGAACUGGUGAGUAACACGUGGGAAACCUGCCCAGAAGCGGGGGAUAACACCUGGAAACAGAUGCUAAUACCGCAUAACAACUUGGACCGCAUGGUCCGAGCUUGAAAGAUGGCUUCGGCUAUCACUUUUGGAUGGUCCCGCGGCGUAUUAGCUAGAUGGUGGGGUAACGGCUCACCAUGGCAAUGAUACGUAGCCGACCUGAGAGGGUAAUCGGCCACAUUGGGACUGAGACACGGCCCAAACUCCUACGGGAGGCAGCAGUAGGGAAUCUUCCACAAUGGACGAAAGUCUGAUGGAGCAACGCCGCGUGAGUGAAGAAGGGUUUCGGCUCGUAAAACUCUGUUGUUAAAGAAGAACAUAUCUGAGAGUAACUGUUCAGGUAUUGACGGUAUUUAACCAGAAAGCCACGGCUAACUACGUGCCAGCAGCCGCGGUAAUACGUAGGUGGCAAGCGUUGUCCGGAUUUAUUGGGCGUAAAGCGAGCGCAGGCGGUUUUUUAAGUCUGAUGUGAAAGCCUUCGGCUCAACCGAAGAAGUGCAUCGGAAACUGGGAAACUUGAGUGCAGAAGAGGACAGUGGAACUCCAUGUGUAGCGGUGAAAUGCGUAGAUAUAUGGAAGAACACCAGUGGCGAAGGCGGCUGUCUGGUCUGUAACUGACGCUGAGGCUCGAAAGUAUGGGUAGCAAACAGGAUUAGAUACCCUGGUAGUCCAUACCGUAAACGAUGAAUGCUAAGUGUUGGAGGGUUUCCGCCCUUCAGUGCUGCAGCUAACGCAUUAAGCAUUCCGCCUGGGGAGUACGGCCGCAAGGCUGAAACUCAAAGGAAUUGACGGGGGCCCGCACAAGCGGUGGAGCAUGUGGGUUUAAUUCGAAGCUACGCGAAGAACCUUACCAGGUCUUGACAUACUAUGCAAAUCUAAGAGAUUAGACGUUCCCUUUCGGGACAUGGAUACAGGUGUGCAUGGUUGUCGUCAGCUCGUGUCGUGAGAUGUGGAUAGUCCCGCACGAGCGCACCUUAUUUAUCAGUUGCCAGCAUUAAGUUGGGCACUCUUGGUGAGAAC